Nematostella vectensis (starlet sea anemone) is the source of this 899-nucleotide long non-coding RNA. RefSeq lists it as uncharacterized. NCBI's taxonomy places the organism in Eukaryota, Metazoa, Cnidaria, Anthozoa, Actiniaria, Edwardsiidae. The record is from RefSeq and is a predicted model, not a curated record. The transcript has 6 exons.
ACAUCAGCUGUGCAAUUAAAUGUUUUGUCUUUCAAAGUUUAGCCAAAUUAUGCGGGAUUACGGGGAAAUUAGUGGAUUACGCGGAAAAAGCCAAAUUACGCGCUUCCGCACAAACGCGUAAUUCCAGAAGCCCUGUUUAUACAAGAUUUGAUUUGAACAGGAGAUAAUCCUGAAGAAGAACCAAUCCAAGAAUACCAUGAUGAUGAACAGGAUUCAUGAAGUGAAUCAGAGGGAUGGAGUGAUUACACUAGUAGUGAUGAGGAGGAAGUUAAUGAGGUGGCCAGUGCACUUGACAAUAUCCUUGCAGUCCCGAAAAUCACUGAAAUCAUAAAGUGAUCAGCUUCCCAUAUCAGAAAAGGCAGAGCAGCUGUCCAAUUUUUUACACUAUGAGUCAUUUUCACAACACCAUACUCCAGCAGAGGACUCAAAUGAAGGUUGAUGAAUGUGAUUUGCCGUUACCAGAGUUCGCGCCGUUAUCCUUUGAAAAAUGAGAAUGUGAACAGGCUCAGUCGAUAUUGAGUUGAAACAGCUUGUGUUAGCCGCUCAAGAAGCAAAAAUAUGCCAAAAUAUUUUUUACUGUGCCUACCUUUGAGUGGGGUUUGGGUUGGUGGCUAGGGUCGAUGCCCGUGUCUGUUGUUAUAAUCUGGGUCUUGUAGGGCAAACUGCUCCUUGACGUUUUUUGUUUGAGAGCAUGAGUGAGGUGUCACUCAGGAGAAGUCAAAAGAAAGAUUCCUUAGAAAGAGAACAUCUUCUAGGAAAAGCAUUAUGUAGUUUAAAAAAAACAUACUGUAGUCUUGUGACAGCUGGCUGAAACAGCUUCUGUAUGUAAACUCUAUAAAUGCCAAUAUUUUUCUGUUGAUAUUGUUUUGUUUUACAAUAAAGAAAAUUAACAGAACAUA